RNAcentral lists this ribosomal RNA (446 nucleotides) under uncultured bacterium. RNAcentral's name for it is "partial 16S ribosomal RNA". It matches the Rfam family "Bacterial small subunit ribosomal RNA", at positions 338 to 795 of the family's 1533-position model. The record is from RNAcentral.
CCUACGGGAGGCUGCAGUCGAGAAUCAUUCACAAUGGGGGAAACCCUGAUGGUGCGACGCCGCGUGGGGGAAUGAAGGUCUUCGGAUUGUAAACCCCUGUCGUGUAGGAGCAAAUUAAAAAGAUAGUACCACAAGAGGAAGAGACGGCUAACUCUGUGCCAGCAGCCGCGGUAAUACAGAGGUCUCAAGCGUUGUUCGGAAUCACUGGGCGUAAGGCGUGCGUAGGCUGUUUCGUAAGUCGUGUGUGAAAGGCGCGGGCUCAACCCGCGGACGGCACAUGAUACUGCGAGACUAGAGUAAUGGAGGGGGAACCGGAAUUCUCGGUGUAGCAGUGAAAUGCGUAGAUAUCGAGAGGAACACUCGUGGCGAAGGCGGGUUCCUGGACAUUAACUGACGCUGAGGCACGAAGGCCAGGGGAGCGAAAGGGAUUAGAUACCCUGGUAGUC